This 506-nucleotide ribosomal RNA is filed under the name uncultured bacterium. RNAcentral describes it as "bacterial SSU rRNA". It matches the Rfam family "Bacterial small subunit ribosomal RNA", at positions 29 to 524 of the family's 1533-position model. The record is from RNAcentral.
AUUGAACGCUGGCGGCGUGCCUAACACAUGCAAGUCGAGCGGUAACAGGUGUAGCAAUACAUGCUGACGAGCGGCGGACGGGUGAGUAACGCUUGGGAAUCUGCCUAUUAGUGGGGGACAACCCGGGGAAACUCGGGCUAAUACCGCAUACGCUCUACGGAGGAAAGCCGGGGACCGCAAGGCCUGGCGCUAAUAGAUGAGCCCAAGUCGGAUUAGCUAGUUGGUAGGGUAAUGGCCUACCAAGGCGACGAUCCGUAACUGGUCUGAGAGGACGACCAGUCACACCGGAACUGAGACACGGUCCGGACUCCUACGGGAGGCAGCAGUGGGGAAUAUUGGACAAUGGGCGAAAGCCUGAUCCAGCGACGCCGCGUGGGUGAAGAAGGCCUGCGGGUUGUAAAGCCCUUUCAGUGGGGAAGAAAAGCCUCGACCUAACACGUCGGGGUCUUGACGUAACCCAUAGAAGAAGCACCGGCCAACUCUGUGCCAGCAGCCGCCGCGGUAAU